Molecule: ribosomal RNA, 807 nt
Filed under: uncultured bacterium
Lineage: Bacteria
Description: bacterial SSU rRNA
Rfam family: Bacterial small subunit ribosomal RNA
Source: RNAcentral
CGCGUGUAGCAGUGAAAUGCGUAGAUAUGCGGAGGAACACCGAUGGCGAAGGCAAUCCCCUGGGCCUGCACUGACGCUCAUGCACGAAAGCGUGGGGAGCAAACAGGAUUAGAUACCCUGGUAGUCCACGCCCUAAACGAUGUCAACUGGUUGUUGGGAGGGUUUCUUCUCAGUAACGUAGCUAACGCGUGAAGUUGACCGCCUGGGGAGUACGGCCGCAGGGUUGAAACUCAAAGGAAUUGACGGGGACCCGCACAAGCGGUGGAUGAUGUGGUUUAAUUCGAUGCAACGCGAAAAACCUUACCUACCCUUGACAUGUCUGGAAUCCUGAAGAGAUUUGGGAGUGCUCGAAAGAGAACCAGAACACAGGUGCUGCAUGGCCGUCGUCAGCUCGUGUCGUGAGAUGUUGGGCUAAGUCCCGCAACGAGCGCAACCCUUGUCAUUAGUUGCUACGAAAGGGCACUCUAAUGAGACUGCCGGUGACAAACCGGAGGAAGGUGGGGAUGACGUCAGGUCAUCAUGGCCCUUAUGGGUAGGGCUACACACGUCAUACAAUGGCCGGGACAGAGGGCUGCCAACCCGCGAGGGGGAGCUAAUCCCAGAAACCCGGUCGUAGUCCGGAUCGUAGUCUGCAACUCGACUGCGUGAAGUCGGAAUCGCUAGUAAUCGCGGAUCAGCUUGCCGCGGUGAAUACGUUCCCGGGUCUUGUACACACCGCCCGUCACACCAUGGGAGCGGGUUCUGCCAGAAGUAGUUAGCCUAACCGCAAGGAGGGCGAUUACCACGGCAGGGUUCGUGACUGGGGUG